Long non-coding RNA from Pomacea canaliculata, 581 nucleotides. RefSeq lists it as uncharacterized. The record is from RefSeq and is a predicted model, not a curated record. Lineage: Eukaryota; Metazoa; Mollusca; Gastropoda; Architaenioglossa; Ampullariidae. The transcript is spliced from 3 exons.
GCAGGCCCUGGAAACUACCGACACGUAGCACGUGACACACUACACGCGCAAGGAUACCUACAGGUUUAAUAAAAGCUUGAACACAAGUAUCGUCCACGACUGCUUUGAACAAAGGGAAGCAAAGCUGAGCAGACACUGGGGAGUGAUGAGCGGAGUUUUGUCCCUUUAUUAGACAACCUUUGAUAAGUCUACAACUAGAGACUCAAGUGGAGACAGUGGGUUGAGGCCGCUUUCCCUCAUCUUGACUCUAGUGGCUACUUCCUGCCUCCUGUCUACCCCAACCACGUGCCGAUGACCAGACAUCGUUUCUGGACAAGACAUUCUACUCCUUCAGUCAAUAUUUAUACAUUCAGACUCGCUUAGCCAAUCUGAGAGGAUUUCAUCAGAUGCCAGCUUUACUGCUUCCUCUCCUGUAGGAAAGUGAACAAUGUCAUCAGUGGGUGUGUAGUUGUAGAUGUCCAACAGGAAUUUGAAUUUUCUGUCAGCACUUGUAUUGUUUUGUGGUCUUUGACAUACCAGCGAUCUGAAGAUGGGUAGAUGGUCGCUACCCUCAAACUGUCUGGAAACUGAUGUCUUUCUGU